Molecule: long non-coding RNA, 4567 nt
Organism: Helicoverpa armigera (cotton bollworm)
Lineage: Eukaryota; Metazoa; Arthropoda; Insecta; Lepidoptera; Noctuidae
Exons: 2
Source: RefSeq, a predicted model, not a curated record
CUGUCUACAAUCAGCGCCAUCUAGUGCAGCGGCGAUAGCACGCACGAUGUUUUCGACCGUGGCUGGCGCCGCUCUGUUUUAUCGAGCGGUGUCGCCAAUCAGAAAGCCUGCAUUUACCGACUUUUGACAGUGACGUCUUAAAUGUCACUCACAUUUUUUCUUCCCUACAAUUUUUGUAAAACCUGUACCUACAUGUAUAAAAAAUAAACGCACUAGUUACUGGAAAAAUAAUAAAGCAAAUUCAUUGAAACACACACAAGAAUCCCGAACAAAAUUGGACCUUCAGACCCGGAUCUUCAGCAGAAUCAGCAUUGGCAGUCACGGUCAGGUCAAUCAAUCCUUUCCUUUCCCAAACCGCUACUCAAUUUGUGCUAACAUCGUCAUUAUUGUGCAAAUUCCAGUCUUCGCAGCCACAUGUGCAGCGGCCACAUUGCCACGAGCACGACAUUGCAGUUAAAACUGUAAGUACUUGAUUCCUUUCUCCUGUAAAUCACCAAUAUGACUGAAAAGGGGCAGUCCCUAGAUAUAGAAAGUAGUGAAGAUCUUAUUCGUGAUUUAGUGAAAAAACGAGGUGUAGUUAAAAGAAAGUUCACAUUGUUUCUCAAAUAUGUGCAAUCUUUGGACGAGUCAAACUUAACAGCAACUCAGAAGUUAGAAUUGGAGGAGCGUUAUCAAAGAGAUAAAAUCUUGUUUGAUACAUUUUCUGAAAUUCAAGACGAGAUAGAUGUGGCUGUGUCAGAGUGUCAAUUAGAUAAAGAAUUACAGGAGAGAGAAGCGUUUCAAGACCAAUAUUAUGCUAUUGUGGCUAAAUGUAAAUGUGUUCUUAAAGAUUCCAGUAGUCAAUCCGUUCAGAGUCAAUCACAAAGUCAAAGUCGCAUUAACGGUGUAAAACUACCAACUAUUUCUUUACCAACCUUCGAUGGUUCGUAUGACCAAUGGCUCGAAUUUCGAGAUACUUAUAUGUCUAUUAUUCACAACAGUAAUAAUUUAGAAAAUGUGCAGAAAUUUCAUUACUUACGUUCCGUCCUUACGGGCAACGCCCUACAAGUCAUUAAGUCGCUGGAGUUUUCAGCUGAUAAUUAUUUAGUAGCUUGGGGUCUUUUAGAAAACAGAUACAAUAAUAACCGUCUAUUAGUUCAUAAUCAUGUGAAGGCAAUAUUUUCAGCGCAGUCAAUGUCUAAAGAAUCAGCUGCUCAAAUCCGUAAAUUAAUUGACACAAUGUUACGUAAUAUUCGUGCACUUAAAACUUUAGGAGAACCCACUGAUACAUGGGAUACAUUAAUUAUUCACAUAAUAGUUUCAAAACUAGAUUCGUCAACUGAGCGUGAGUGGGAACUUCAUAAAAGUAAUUCCACGAACAGUUCUGUCGAUAAAAAAAUGUUGCUGUCAGAUUUAUUAACAUUUCUGAAAGAUCGAGCUGAUUUUCUAGAAACUGUGAAGCCUUCGCAGAAUAAGCCAGCCACGAUAGACAACAAUAAUAAUAAUACUCACACAAAGAAGUCGUUAUCAGUAAAAUCACACAGUUAUGUUGCAACACAAAAGGAUAGCAAAAGGUCAAACAAUUCAAAACGUUACAAAUGUAAUAUGUGUGGUUCCAAUCAUCCCAUUUAUUCAUGUGAAGAGUUCCUUAAUUUAUCGCUUCGGGAUAAACUACGUAUCAUUGAAGAAAAAGGUUUAUGUGUUAAUUGUUUACGCAUAGGUCACGCAGUUAACGAAUGUUGGUUCGGACCGUGCAAGCAUUGUAAUAAGAAGCAUAACACAUUAAUUCACGACCCUUCAGUAAACACUUGUACAUCAUCAGCAGUGGCGCAUAUCACACAAAAGUCUCACCCUGAACCUAGUACAAGUGACGCACACACGCAGUUAGCUCACACCACUUCUCAUAAAACACACACGCUUUACACAGAAGAUAAUAAUAUCAAUACACACUAUUAUCAAAACCCGGUAUUAUUGUCAACUGCUUUAGUGGAAGUGGCGGACGAGCAUAACGUAUAUCACACAGCACGUGCUCUUCUGGAUAACGGAAGUCAGCAUUGUUUCAUUGCAGAAACAUUGUGUAAAAAACUUAAUAUUCCAUUGAUACAGUCCACUGUUCAAGUGAGAGGGGUAGGUAAUACUGUCACUCAAUCCACAAAUUCUUGUAGCAUUCAAUUGCGAUCCAAAGUAAAUUCAUUUAACACACGCUUUAACUGUUUAGUUUUGUCUUGUAUUUCAUCACACUUACCGACACUGAGUACAAAAGGUGACAUAGAAAUACCUGACAACAUUCAACUGGCCGAUCCUGAAUUCUGUUCUUCCGGUGAAAUACAUUUGUUGAUCGGGGCGGACAGGUUCUGGGAUCUGCUCAGUGAGGGUUUAGUAAGAUUGCCUAAUGGUCCAUACUUACAAAACACAAAAUUUGGAUGGAUCAUAUCUGGUAUUGUACACAAAAGAGUUUCACGCAUUAAACAGACUCAGUGCAAUUUCACACAUAGUACAUUAGAUUCUGAUCUCAAACGUUUUUGGGAACUUGAAGAGAUUCCUAUUAGUAGUAAUAAAUUCACUAAGGAAGAAAUCGCAUGCGAAAAAUUAUUUAAAGACACUACUUUACGCGUAGAUAAGGGUCGUUUUUCUGUGCGCAUACCGCUAAGCGAGUCAGCUGAUGUACUCGGCGAUACAUUUACUAUGGCCGAGAACCGGUUUCUUGCACUCGAACGCAAAUUACUAAGAAGCGCACCGGCCUAUAGAAAAAUGUAUAUUGAUUUUAUAAAUGAGUAUUUAAGCUUGGGACACAUGAGUCGCAUUUCUGAUUAUAAUAAAAUUUGUUAUUUUUUACCACAUCACGGUGUUUACCGAGAACACAGUUCUACUACGAAGUUAAGAGUGGUGUUUGACGGAAGUGCAAAGUCAACGUCAGGUAAAUCAUUAAAUGACAUCCAACACACAGGACCUGCGUUACACAAUGACUUGUUUUCUAUUUUGCUUCGAUUCAGACAAUUCAGAUACGUAGCAUCUUCUGAUAUUGAGAAGAUGUUUCGGCAGGUAAAAAUACAAGAAGACCAAAGAAAUUUACAAUUAAUUCUUUGGAGAGAGAAUCCAUCUGAUCCUCUCGGUGUGUACCAACUUAACACAGUAACAUAUGGAACUGCGUCCGCACCUUAUCUUAGUAUGAGGUGUUUGAAGCAACUCGCGUUGGAAUGCAAUGAUGACGUCAUCGCACAAGUCAUUAAUGACGACAUUUUUGUAGAUGAUCUCGUCACUGGCCACGAUGAUCAAGAAACAUUAUUAGAGAUUUGCAACAGUGUUUCUAAAGUACUAGAAUCUGGAUGUUUUCAUCUGAGAAAGUGGGUAUUUAAUUCACCAGUUACACAAUCAAACGUAUCCGCUUUUAAGGAUUUAUCAUUCGGUGAAAACUGUCACACUAAAACAUUGGGAAUGGGAUGGUUUUAUUCUUCUGACGAAUUAUACUUUGACACUAAAUAUAAUCAAGAUGAAUCUCAUGUUACUAAACGAAUCAUUCUUUCAACUAUCGCACAAACAUAUGAUCCAUUAGGUUUACUUGCACCAACGGUUAUUACUGCUAAAAUCAUACUACAAAAACUGUGGUUAGCUAAAUUAGACUGGGAUGAACCGGUGCCUAAGUCUAUUUUAUCAGAUUGGCAAAACUUCAUUAAUAAAUUUCAUAAUUUACAGUAUAUUCACAUUCCACGUCAUGUAAUAGGACAAAAUACAACUGUAAUAGAAUUACAUGUUUUUUGUGAUGCUUCACAGUGUGCGUACGGAGCUUGUGCAUAUAUACGCAGUGUUACAGAUAAUAAUAUAAUAACAGUACAUUUGUUAUGCGCGAAGAGUCGAGUCGCCCCGGUGAAACCGGUUAGCAUACCGCGCUUAGAAUUAUGUGGUGCAUUAAUCCGACAGAUUUGCUCCCGUUAAGUCCAGCUCAUUUUUUGAUUGGCCGGCCACUUACUGCGCCUGCUGACAAGAAAGACCUGACGAUGACAGCCACACAUCGCCUUCCACGAUAUGAUCGCAUAGAACAGAUGCGACAAAACUUCUGGCGUCGGUGGGCUACGGAAUAUAUUUCUGAGCUUCAGAAGAGGACCAAGUGGCAAUCUAACCAAGACACAUUACUUCCGAACACACUGGUCCUAAUAAAAGAAGAUCACCUUCCACCCCUGAAAUGGCAACUUGGACGAGUGCAAGAGACGUUCCCAGGUCGAGAUGGCCUCUCUCGUGUAGCAGUCAUCAAGACGGCGACCGGAAUUAUCAAGAGGACGUACCCAAAACUCUGUCCACUACUACAACCACAGUAACUUCGUUGGAAGCUGGUGCUUCCAAGGCCGGGAGUAUGUCUACAAUCAGCGCCAUCUAGUGCAGCGGCGAUAGCACGCACGAUGUUUUCGACCGUGGCUGGCGCCGCUCUGUUUUAUCGAGCGGUGUCGCCAAUCAGAAAGCCUGCAUUUACCGACUUUUGACAGUGACGUCUUAAAUGUCACUCACAUUUUUUCUUCCCUACAAUUUUUGUAAAACCUGUACCUACAUGUAUAAAAAAUAAACGCACUAGUUACUGGAAAAAUAAUAAAGCAAA